ACAUCCUGUAGUGGCUGCUGGAGCCUGGCAUCAAAGUGAGAUACUGCACGGCCUUCCAUCUCUGAAGUAGUGCUGGUUUUCCCAAAUCUUUACGCCAGGGACGUUGUAUGAACACUAGCAUCGCCUUCAAUUUGUAAAUCCACGAACUGUGUCUCUGAGCUGCUUUACCUCGCACUAGGACGCCAUCCCACCGCUUGCCACCAAUGUAACGGAUCGCCUGGCACCCCGACUGGGUACCUCCGUUGAAGGAUGCUCCUAGCACUUCCUGAGGACUCCAAGCACUCUGGCAGACACCAC
Pelobates cultripes (western spadefoot toad) is the source of this 297-nucleotide non-coding RNA. NCBI's taxonomy places the organism in Eukaryota, Metazoa, Chordata, Amphibia, Anura, Pelobatidae. The record is from the annotation of a GenBank genome assembly.